RNAcentral lists this unclassified non-coding RNA (328 nucleotides) under soil metagenome. RNAcentral's name for it is "partial contains 5.8S ribosomal RNA, internal transcribed spacer 2, and large subunit ribosomal RNA". The stretch from base 1 to 120 matches the Rfam family "5.8S ribosomal RNA", at positions 35 to 154 of the family's 154-position model. The record is from RNAcentral.
GAUGAAGAACGUAGCGAAAUGCGAUAAGUAAUGUGAAUUGCAGAAUUCAGUAAAUCAUCGAAUCUUUGAACGCACAUUGCGCCCCUCGGUAUUCCGAGGGGCAUGCCUGUUCGAGCGUCAUUAUAACCCUUCAAGCUCAGCUUGGUGUUGGGGCCUGCUGUAACUGGUAGCCCUUAAAAUCAGUGGCAGUGCUAUUAGGCUCUAAGCGUAGUAAUUCUUCUCGCUAUAGUGUGUAGUGAGCGCUUGCCAGAACCCCAAACUUUUAUAUGAUUGACCUCGGAUCAGGUAGGGAUACCCGCUGAACUUAAGCAUAUCAAUAAGCGGAGGA